RNAcentral lists this ribosomal RNA (253 nucleotides) under uncultured bacterium. RNAcentral's name for it is "partial 16S ribosomal RNA". It matches the Rfam family "Bacterial small subunit ribosomal RNA", at positions 524 to 776 of the family's 1533-position model. The record is from RNAcentral.
UACGUAGGGGGCUAGCGUUGUCCGGAAUCAUUGGGCGUAAAGCGCGCGUAGGCGGCCAGAUAAGUCCGGUGUGAAAGCCACAGGCUCAACCUGUGAAUGCCGCUGGAAACUGUCUGGCUAGAGUCCGGGAGGGGCGAGUGGAAUUCCUGGUGUAACGGUGAAAUGUGUUGAUAUCAGGAGGAACACCCAUGGCGAAGGCAGCAGACUGGGCGUUUCCUGACGCUGAGGCGCGAAAGCGUGGGUAGCAAACAGG